UCUCUCUGAAUCUGCGAACGGCUCCGCAAACCAGUUGUAAAUUAUACCGAGCAUGUCCCUGACCCUGGUCGCAAGACCGGGUCUUGGAAUAUAUGGAUAACCGUGGUAAUUCUGUGGCUAAUACAUGAACGUAAAACCUGGCUGACGGGGCAACCUGAAGGCCGGGGCACGUGCGAUCUCGGUCGCAACGAUAAGGAAGGGAAUAUACGCACGUGAUGACCGCCAUAAAAAACAGUCUUGCUUGCUGGGGCCUUCGGGUCCCGCUCGCUUGUCUGGGCGGCUCUCGAGCUAUGCUUCUGACCUAUCAACUAGAAGGCAGCGUAAGGGACAUGCUUUGGUGACAACGGGUACAGAGGAUAAGGGUUCGAUCCUGGAGAGUGGGCCUGAGAGAUU
This 393-nucleotide ribosomal RNA is filed under the name Physarum oblatum. RNAcentral describes it as "SSU rRNA". It matches the Rfam family "Eukaryotic small subunit ribosomal RNA", at positions 76 to 405 of the family's 1831-position model. Lineage: Eukaryota; Evosea; Eumycetozoa; Physariida; Physaraceae. The record is from RNAcentral.